UGCAACAGUGAGCUCCAUUAUUAUCACAAACAAAUCAUCUUUAGUAAGAGUCUCCUGUGCUAUGGGUGGAUGACCAAAUGAGCCACCAGGCCCAGGAACCCCUAAGCCAGGGUUGCUGCGUGAAGUCACUGUUAUGAACUUUGCAUUCUUGUGCAUAGUCGAU
This is a long non-coding RNA of Etheostoma spectabile (orangethroat darter), 163 nucleotides long. RefSeq lists it as uncharacterized. The transcript has 3 exons. The record is from RefSeq and is a predicted model, not a curated record. Lineage: Eukaryota; Metazoa; Chordata; Actinopteri; Perciformes; Percidae.